This 446-nucleotide ribosomal RNA is filed under the name uncultured bacterium. RNAcentral's name for it is "partial 16S ribosomal RNA". It matches the Rfam family "Bacterial small subunit ribosomal RNA", at positions 338 to 795 of the family's 1533-position model. The record is from RNAcentral.
CCUACGGGAGGCAGCAGUCGAGAAUCAUUCACAAUGGGGGAAACCCUGAUGGUGCGACGCCGCGUGGGGGAAUGAAGGUCUUCGGAUUGUAAACCCCUGUCAUGUGGGAGCAAAUUAAAAAGAUAGUACCCCAAGAGGAAGAGCCGGCUAACUCUGUGCCAGCAGCCGCGGUAAUACAGAGGUCUCAAGCGUUGUUCGGAAUCACUGGGCGUAAAGCGUGCGUAGGCUGUUUCGUAAGUCGUGUGUGAAAGGCGCGGGCUCAACCCGCGGACGGCACAUGAUACUGCGAGACUAGAGUAAUGGAGGGGGAACCGGAAUUCUCGGUGUAGCAGUGAAAUGCGUAGAUAUCGAGAGGAACACUCGUGGCGAAGGCGGGUUCCUGGACAUUAACUGACGCUGAGGCACGAAGGCCAGGGGAGCGAAAGGGAUUAGAUACCCCAGUAGUC